GUUGGUAGGUAAAAUCUAUGACGAACACUGUACUCUCUUAUUACUUUCAAAUGUAUUUUAAAAAGUGGAAAAAUAAAAUGUAAUGGAGUGUCAUCAUGAAGAGGAAGGGUGGCAGCGACACUCAUCAAGUUUUUUGGGCAGAGUCAGAAACGUACCGAAACAUUUUCUUUACUGAUAUUUCUUUCAUGUUCAGAAAGAGAUUGAGAGAGAGACCAUGAGGAUGCCAACAGGACAGGGAGAGCAGGUGAAAUGGAGAUCCAGUCAGGGUGGAAAACAUCAGGGCCGGCUGUAGAAAAAUAAAUGUUCAGCUGUGGUUGACAACCACAACCCUCUCUGUCCGUUGCUCUCUGCCUCCAUCCUCCAUUUUACCAUCGACCUAUUUAUGUUUAGAGGGUGCAGCCUGGUAACUGCAGUCACCUUCAACCUCCAUUAACAACACCAGUAUAUUUCACUAUAGAGGUGUGAAGUUUCCACAGCAGAGUUAGUGUUACUUUAUCAUAACAACAUCAAUAUCAGAGUUUCAGCUUUGAUAGUUUCCAUAACAGAGUUAGUGUUACUUUAUCAUGACAACAUCCAGACAUCAAUGUCUGGAACCAGAUGAUAGUGUGGUAGUAUCUGCUGUACUCAUCAAUGUGUAACUUUACUAACUGGAGGAAAGUUGUAGCAGUUAUGAAUGUUUUUGUUUCUAUAUGAUAAAGUGCCCUUCAGAUUUAUUGGCACCCUAGAUAAAUAAUAAAUAACCCUUUAAAUUAUUGAAAAUGUUAUUUUAACCCAACAUCUUCAAGUUGCGGUUGUUUUGCUGAAGAAACACCACUGUUGGUUGGAACCUCAUCAAAUAAAGCUUUUAAGACCUAGUGGUUGUAUCUUAACUUUGCCCUGUAGAUAGAAGUGCUACAUGUUUAGUGAUGGUGUUCUAACUUGCACUGUGAAACAUUAUUACAUUGACCAUCUACAGACAUGGAACACAAUGAGACAUGGAACACAAUGAUACAAGCUAUCCUUUUGUUAUGUAUAUUGACUUUAUUUACCUUUAUUUAACAUAAAUAGAAAAUCCAUGGGAGAACACUACUUGGGAUCGGUCUUCAUAAUUAUUGUUUUGUUACAGUUAAGGCUAGAUUUAUAACAAUGGUUGGUGGAUAGUCAACAUGUUGGCUUUUAUUGUGACGAUUAUUGAACAUUUAUUGAACGUUGGCUUUUAUUGUGACAAUUAUUGAACAUUUACAAACCUUCUACUUUGGACUAUGCCGAUAUAGUAUUGCCUCAUAUUUUUAAACAACUUAAAGAAAACAAACACCUUGAAGACUAACAAUUAUUAUGGAUAUGACCACUUUCUACUGUUACAAACGACACUGAUGAGUCCAGCUGAAACUCUGAUACGGUCUGUUUCCAGUCAUUGAUGUUCUUGUGAUUACUACCCAAUAAUUCUGUUUCGAAAACUUCACACCUCUGUUGUCGAAAAGUGAUAUUGAACCAUACAUAAUUAGUUCUUGCCUCUUGCAAAACAAACAGUGUGACUUUUCUACUUAUUUUGGGUAGCUAUUGAGAUCUGUGGCUGGUGAUCUACUGUAAAUAUAGCCUAGUAUAUUUACAUAUAGCUGCUUACUUUUGUUAUAAUGGCAAAUUAAUUAUUGAAAACCAUUCCUGUGGAAUUAACUGUUGAGAUCUGUGGCCAGUAUUCUACUGAAAAAAAUAACCAACAAAUAUAUUUUGAUUUCAUUUGAGCUAUACUGUCUGAACAUUUAGUACCACAAAAUUACAUCCUUCACAGAACAACCAGAUUUUGUGAAAUGUUAAAAGCAUGAAUUGUUAGCUAUUUCUACUGGUAAAUGUGUUUUAAUGUCUGUGGUUUUGGCAACUAUAGCCUACUCUUUGUAAAUAUGGCUUGUUAAAAUGCCAACAUUUCCUGAGUCUUGCUUAUUAAAAACCAUGCCUGAGAGACUUAA
This is a long non-coding RNA of Esox lucius (northern pike), 1943 nucleotides long. RefSeq lists it as uncharacterized. The record is from RefSeq and is a predicted model, not a curated record. The transcript has 3 exons. NCBI's taxonomy places the organism in Eukaryota, Metazoa, Chordata, Actinopteri, Esociformes, Esocidae.